GUCGACGCGUUGGCCAAUUGAUUGAUGGUGCUUGCACCUGAUUGAUUUUGGUUGCCAACGAGUGGCGGACGGGUGAGUAACACGUAGGUAACCUGCCCAGAAGCGGGGGACAACAUUUGGAAACAGAUGCUAAUACCGCAUAACAGCGUUGUUCGCAUGAACAACGCUUAAAAGAUGGCUUCUCGCUAUCACUUCUGGAUGGACCUGCGGUGCAUUAGCUUGUUGGUGGGGUAACGGCCUACCAAGGCGAUGAUGCAUAGCCGAGUUGAGAGACUGAUCGGCCACAAUGGGACUGAGACACGGCCCAUACUCCUACGGGAGGCAGCAGUAGGGAAUCUUCCACAAUGGGCGCAAGCCUGAUGGAGCAACACCGCGUGAGUGAAGAAGGGUUUCGGCUCGUAAAGCUCUGUUGUUAAAGAAGAACACGUAUGAGAGUAACUGUUCAUACGUUGACGGUAUUUAACCAGAAAGUCACGGCUAACUACGUGCCAGCAGCCGCGGUAAUACGUAGGUGGCAAGCGUUAUCCGGAUUUAUUGGGCGUAAAGAGAGUGCAGGCGGUUUUCUAAGUCUGAUGUGAAAGCCUUCGGCUUAACCGGAGAAGUGCAUCGGAAACUGGAUAACUUGAGUGCAGAAGAGGGUAGUGGAACUCCAUGUGUAGCGGUGGAAUGCGUAGAUAUAUGGAAGAACACCAGUGGCGAAGGCGGCUACCUGGUCUGCAACUGACGCUGAGACUCGAAAGCAUGGGUAGCGAACAGGAUUAGAUACCCUGGUAGUCCAUGCCGUAAACGAUGAGUGCUAGGUGUUGGAGGGUUUCCGCCCUUCA
RNAcentral lists this ribosomal RNA (824 nucleotides) under uncultured bacterium. RNAcentral's name for it is "bacterial SSU rRNA". It matches the Rfam family "Bacterial small subunit ribosomal RNA", at positions 29 to 842 of the family's 1533-position model. The record is from RNAcentral.